GCCACGGUGGUCUAGCGGUUAGAACGCUGGCCUUGUAAUCCUGGGGGCUCGGGUUCGAUUCCCGGCGGUGCCC
This is a non-coding RNA of Zootermopsis nevadensis, 73 nucleotides long. The record is from Rfam. Lineage: Eukaryota; Metazoa; Arthropoda; Insecta; Blattodea; Termopsidae.